This 69-nucleotide non-coding RNA is filed under the name Enterobacter sp. BIGb0383. Lineage: Bacteria; Pseudomonadati; Pseudomonadota; Gammaproteobacteria; Enterobacterales; Enterobacteriaceae. RNAcentral also lists the same sequence under 1 other name. The record is from RNAcentral.
UUCGGUACGACAUUGCUCACAUUGCUUCCAGUAUUUUUGCCCGCCUCUUCUGAGUGCGGGCUUUUUUUU